RNAcentral lists this non-coding RNA (86 nucleotides) under unclassified sequences. RNAcentral's name for it is "S10-Clostridia ribosomal protein leader". It matches the Rfam family "S10-Clostridia ribosomal protein leader". The record is from RNAcentral.
UGAGAGCGUUGAAGUAAGAGGUUGCUACUUGAAAAGUAAGUAGGUUUUCUUAUGGAGCGAUGUCUAGUUCAAGAAACUGACGACAA